UCCCAGUAAAACGUCGACGUUCCUUCUCUGAAUAUUGGGGAAAGUUAGGGCUUUGUCUUCGUCUUCUUCAAUUCGCAAUUGUCAUCUUCUUCUUCUUCAAUUCGUGCAGAGACGACACAUAUAUGUACUUGCUGAGAUGUCUUCUUCUAAUUUAGGUUAAUUUCCAUGAUAAUUCGAGUUGGUUUAUGUUGAUUACGAUAGUCCUGUAUGGGAUUAGUGCAAGAUUAGUAUCAAACCCAAACCUUGUUAAUGUGUCAUUUCUCCUUUUGCCGAGUGUAUACAACUUGCUUGAUGAUAUAUCCCCUGAGAUACGGUCAUGAAUUAAUUCCUAGAAUUGCUCAAUCUGAAGAUGUUUUGAUAUAGUUCACAUGUCAUGAAUCGAUUGGUUAAUUAUUAGACAUGAUUCUUGAUGUAAUUUCAUAGUUGCCGAGCACGACACUGAACUUUCGUUGCUUCUGUUUCUCUGCUCACCAUGUCUUCGUGCUUCACGGGUUUCUACGGUGACCGGUGAUGGUUGCCGGUGAACGGUGGAGGGUGAUUUUCCGGAAUAGGAGAUGUGGAGGCGUCAAUUGAAUUCCUCGCUGAUAGGAUGAAUGACCUUAAAAGAGAAGGAAAAGGAGCAAAGGUGCCCGAGCCAGAGUCAAGAGUCAACUGCAGCUAUGAUAUGAAGGAUGCGGAAAAACCUUUAUUGACGUUGGUGUUUUGAGAAAGCAUUCUCAUAUCCAUGACAUCUUUUAGCAGGGGCUUGACUUAAAUGAAGUUGUGUUUUAGAUGAUGCAGAGCGUCUUGUAGGUGUUUUUUUUAGAUCUCCCAUUUCCUCUUUUCGAUUUAUUUGUUUUUAAUGUCGGUGAAAGACCUAUUGAGUUGUAAUCCUUGUUGAUCUUGAAAUACAAAAGUUACCGUAUUAGUUCCUU
Molecule: long non-coding RNA, 914 nt
Organism: Syzygium oleosum
Lineage: Eukaryota; Viridiplantae; Streptophyta; Magnoliopsida; Myrtales; Myrtaceae
Exons: 2
Source: RefSeq, a predicted model, not a curated record